GCAAGUCGAACGGUAGCAGGUCUUCGGAUGCUGACGAGUGGCGGACGGGUGCGUAACGCGUAGGAAUCUGCCUAUUAGUGGGGGACAACUUAGGGAAACUUAAGCUAAUACCGCAUACGCCCUACGGGGGAAAGGAGGGGACCUUCGGGCCUUUCGCUAAUAGAUGAGCCUGCGUCGGAUUAGCUAGUUGGUGGGGUAAAGGCCUACCAAGGCGACGAUCCAUAGCUGGUCUGAGAGGACGAUCAGCCACACUGGGACUGAGACACGGCCCAGACUCCUACGGGAGGCAGCAGUGGGGAAUAUUGGACAAUGGGCGAAAGCCUGAUCCAGCAAUACCGCGUGUGUGAAGAAGGCCUUAGGGUUGUAAAGCACUUUCAAUUGGAAGGAAAAACUCAUGGCCAAUACCCAUGAGCUUGACAUUACCUUUAGAAGAAGCACCGGCUAACUCCGUGCCAGCAGCCGCGGUAAUACGGAGGGUGCGAGCGUUAAUCGGAAUUACUGGGCGUAAAGCGUGCGUAGGCGGCUCGUUAAGUCAGAUGUGAAAGCCCUGGGCUCAACCUGGGAACGGCAUUUGAAACUGGCGAGCUAGAGUUUGGGAGAGGAGAGUGGAAUUUCAGGUGUAGCGGUGAAAUGCGUAGAGAUCUGAAGGAACACCAGUGGCGAAGGCGACUCUCUGGCCUAAAACUGACGCUGAGGUACGAAAGCGUGGGUAGCAAACAGGAUUAGAUACCCUGGUAGUCCACGCCGUAAACGAUG
RNAcentral lists this ribosomal RNA (756 nucleotides) under uncultured bacterium. Its description in RNAcentral is "bacterial SSU rRNA". It matches the Rfam family "Bacterial small subunit ribosomal RNA", at positions 57 to 811 of the family's 1533-position model. The record is from RNAcentral.